UACGUAGGGGGCGAGCGUUAUCCGGAAUUAUUGGGCGUAAAGGGCAUGCAGGCGGUCUGCCAAGUUCAGACUAAAAAUUCUCGGCUUAACCGGGAGAGAGGUGUGAAGACUGGCAGACUUGAGAGCGAGAGAGGGACACGGAAUUCCAGGUGGAGCGGUGAAAUGCGUAGAGAUCUGGAAGAACACCAAAGGCGAAGGCAGUGUUCUGGCUCGUCUCUGACGCUCAGAUGCGAAAGCCAGGGGAG
This 245-nucleotide ribosomal RNA is filed under the name uncultured bacterium. Its description in RNAcentral is "partial 16S ribosomal RNA". It matches the Rfam family "Bacterial small subunit ribosomal RNA", at positions 524 to 768 of the family's 1533-position model. The record is from RNAcentral.